Molecule: long non-coding RNA, 1449 nt
Organism: Corylus avellana
Lineage: Eukaryota; Viridiplantae; Streptophyta; Magnoliopsida; Fagales; Betulaceae
Source: RefSeq, a predicted model, not a curated record
UUCAAGCUUCCUUCUAAGUUGUAACUUGUAACCCUCGUUUCCAUCCAACCAGUCUCCUCUCCUUCCUUCAGACCUCCAAAUCUCUGGUUUUAUUUUCGAAGCGCUUCGUAGCAAAGCUCUGCUUUUUGAAUAUUUUCUACUUUCCUCUCCUAAAAAGCCUCUGCCAAUCGUAACGGAGAGAAAACUGACGGGGAGGAGUUCUGCCGUUCAGCGUCGAAGCCUUUCAUCUCUCACUUUGUUCUGCAAACCCUAAUCCACGCAUGGGACAUAUCAGAGGUAUGAGGAACUCUGGCAUACGUCCCUCAUCCACUUUUCGGUCUAGUCACAAUCCUGACAACUACAAGCAUAAGUGGGAUCAGUCGCAGCAUGAAUUGAUGCAAAUAAAAGAGGAAUUGAGAGAAAUGGAGCAGCGAUUGGAGCAAAUUGAGGAAAGACACCGCGAAACAGAGGAAAGACAGCGAAAAACGGAGGAAAGACAACGAAAAACAGAUGAAAGACAACAAAAGAUUGAGGAAAGACUACGAGUAACGGAGGAAAAACAAAAAGAAAUGGAUCGUAAGCUAGCGAUCCUAAUGGAACACUUCAAGUCUUGAUGAUUGUAUAUGUCAGGUAAUUCCAAUACAAUUGGUUCAUUUUCACCUACAUGCAUUUCAGGCUAUUAACUAUAAAUCUGCGUAAUAUUACAGCUAUUGAAGAUUGUUGUUUCUAGCCCUUACAUACCCAGCUAACAAUUUGCUAUCUGUCAGUAUGUGUAAACAAGAAUGGCUAUAAAGAAUCUGUGUUUCAUUAAUCUUUUUGUUUACUUCAUUAUUAGUUUCAGUUUACCAGUCCUGUCUUCAUUAUAAUCCACUGAAAGAAUCUGUGCUUCAUUGACCAGAAUCGUUGGGUUGAUAGAAGUUCUAUCAUAUCGGCAUAUCAUAGUUUUGGUAGAUUUCUGUAUCCCACAUAGAUUUGGCAUAUAACUGACGAGCUUCUUGGUCUCUGCUGGGUUGAUCUAUUGGAUUUUUCUCUUUUCUUUUGUUUCCUUUAUAGAUUUUUUUCACUCUAGACUUGCAUAAAAGAAAAGAUACUGUCGUGGGGGAUGAUGAUGAUGAUAAUUAAUCUCUGUAUUCCUCUCUGCUCUUAUUUCAUUCAUUGCUCAUAGGCUCUUUGGUAAGAUGAUAUUAUAUAUAUGCAAGUUUCUGGUGAAAUGAGCGACAUCUCUGCACUAUGAAGACUUGAAACAACAUCUGAUGAGCUUGCCGAUGCUGUUGAUUCCUUCAAGGUCCCCCUCAAUCUGCUGCUGGAAUUUGAGGUGGUGGUAGUCUAUAUCCUUUUGUGGAAUACAGUGUUAUGCUGAUGUGGGUUGAUGCCAAAAUGUAGUUAGGUUUUGUAAUGAGAGUGAGGGUGCUUUGGUAAGGAACUUCAUGUUUUACUGAACUUUCUAUGCAAUUAUGUUGUUUGGUUGGA